GAUGAACGCUGGCGGCGUGCCUAAUACAUGCAAGUCGAGCGAACGGACGAGAAGCUUGCUUCUCUGAUGUUAGGGGCGGACGGGGGAGGAAUACGUGGAUAACCUACCUAUAAGACUUGGAUAACUUCGGGAAACCGGAGCUAAUACCGGAGAAUAUUUUGAACCGCAUGGUUCAAAAGUGAAAGACGGUCUUGCUGUCACUGAGAGAUGGAUCCGCGCUGCAUUAGCUAGUUGGUAAGGUAACGGCUUACCAAGGCAACGAUGCAUAGCCGACCUGAGAGGGUGGGCGGCCGCACUGGAACUGAGACACGGUCCGGACUCCUACGGGAGGCAGCAGUAGGGAAUCUUCCGCGCUGGGCGAAAGCCUGACGGAGCCACGCCGCGUGAGUGAUGAAGGUCUUCGGAUCGUAUGACUCUGUUAUUCGCGAAGAACAUAUGUGUACGUAACUGUGCACAUCUUGACGGUACCUAAUCAGAAAGCCCCGGCUAACUACGUG
This 497-nucleotide ribosomal RNA is filed under the name uncultured bacterium. Its description in RNAcentral is "partial 16S ribosomal RNA". It matches the Rfam family "Bacterial small subunit ribosomal RNA", at positions 28 to 507 of the family's 1533-position model. The record is from RNAcentral.